RNAcentral lists this non-coding RNA (24 nucleotides) under Gossypium hirsutum (cotton). The record is from RNAcentral. Lineage: Eukaryota; Viridiplantae; Streptophyta; Magnoliopsida; Malvales; Malvaceae.
CAAACUGGGCACGUACCGAACAUC